GAAUUCGCCCUUAGAGUUUGAUCCUGGCUCAGGACGAACGCUGGCGGCGUGCUUAACACAUGCAAGUCGAACGGAGUACCCUCGAAAGAGAUUUCGGUCAAUGGAGAGGACUACUUAGUGGCGGACGGGUGAGAACGCGUGAGGAACCUGCCUUUCAGUGGGGGACAACAGUUGGAAACGACUGCUAAUACCGCAUAACGUACUGGUAUCGCAUGGUACUGGUACCAAAGAUUUAUCGCUGAGAGAUGGCCUCGCGUCUGAUUAGCUAGUUGGUAGGGUAACGGCCUACCAAGGCGACGAUCAGUAGCCGGACUGAGAGGUUGGCCGGCCACAUUGGGACUGGGAUACGGCCCAGACUCCUACGGGAGGCAGCAGUGGGGAAUAUUGGGCAAUGGGCGCAAGCCUGACCCAGCAACGCCGCGUGAAGGAAGAAGGCUUUCGGGUUGUAAACUUCUUUUGACAGGGAAGAGCAGAAGACGGUACCUGUCGAAUAAGCCACGGCUAACUACGUGCCAGCAGCCGCGGUAAUACGUAGGUGGCAAGCGUUGUCCGGAUUUACUGGGUGUAAAGGGCGUGUAGCCCGGGCUGACAAGUCAGAUGUGAAAUCCGGGGGCUCAACCCCCGAACUGCAUUUGAAACUGUUGGUCUUGAGUAUCGGAGAGGCAGGCGGAAUUCCUAGUGUAGCGGUGAAAUGCGUAGAUAUUAGGAGGAACACCAGUGGCGAAGGCGGCCUGCUGGACGACAACUGACGGUGAGGCGCGAAAGCGUGGGGAGCAAACAGGAUUAGAUACCCUGGUAGUCCACGCUGUAAACGAUGGAUACUAGGUGUGCGGGGACUGACCCCCUGCGUGCCGCAGCUAACGCAAUAAGUAUCCCACCUGGGGAGUACGAUCGCAAGGUUGAAACUCAAAGGAAUUGACGGGGGCCCGCACAAGCGGUGGAUUAUGUGGUUUAAUUCGAUGCAACGCGAAGAACCUUACCAGGGCUUGACAUCCUACUAACGAAGUAGAGAUACAUUAGGUACCCUUCGGGGGAAGUAGAGACAGGUGGUGCAUGGUUGUCGUCAGCUCGUGUCGUGAGAUGUUGGGUUAAGUCCCGCAACGAGCGCAACCCUUAUUGUUAGUUGCUACGCAAGAGCACUCUAGCGAGACUGCCGUUGACAAAACGGAGGAAGGUGGGGACGACGUCAAAUCAUCAUGCCCCUUAUGUCCUGGGCUACACACGUAAUACAAUGGCGGUCAACAGAGGGAUGCAAAACCGUGAGGUGGAGCGAACCCCUAAAAGCCGUCCCAGUUCAGAGAGCAGUCUGCAACCCGACUGCGUGAAGUCGGAAUCGCUAGUAAUCGCGGAUCAGCAUGCCGCGGUGAA
Molecule: ribosomal RNA, 1368 nt
Filed under: uncultured bacterium
Lineage: Bacteria
Description: partial 16S ribosomal RNA
Rfam family: Bacterial small subunit ribosomal RNA
Source: RNAcentral